GUAGUCUGCAACUCGACUACAUGAAGCUGGAAUCGCUAGUAAUCGCGAAUCAGAAUGUCGCGGUGAAUACGUUCCCGGGUCUUGUACACACCGCCCGUCACACCAUGGGAGUCGGAUAUGCCCGAAGCCGGUGACCUAACCGCAAGGAAGGAGCCGUCGAAGGUGGAGCCGAUGACUGGGGUGAAGUCGUAACAAGGUAGC
RNAcentral lists this ribosomal RNA (201 nucleotides) under uncultured bacterium. Its description in RNAcentral is "partial 16S ribosomal RNA". It matches the Rfam family "Bacterial small subunit ribosomal RNA", at positions 1300 to 1500 of the family's 1533-position model. The record is from RNAcentral.